GCCCAGGUGGUGAAAUUGGUAGACACGCUAGACUUAGGAUCUAGUGCUUCGGCGUGGAGGUUCAAGUCCUCUCCUGGGCACCA
Molecule: transfer RNA, 83 nt
Filed under: Gammaproteobacteria bacterium
Lineage: Bacteria; Pseudomonadati; Pseudomonadota; Gammaproteobacteria
Also listed under: 3 other names
Description: tRNA-Leu
Rfam family: tRNA
About the family: Transfer RNA (tRNA) molecules are approximately 80 nucleotides in length. Their secondary structure includes four short double-helical elements and three loops (D, anti-codon, and T loops). Further hydrogen bonds mediate the characteristic L-shaped molecular structure. tRNAs have two regions of fundamental functional importance: the anti-codon, which is responsible for specific mRNA codon recognition, and the 3' end, to which the tRNAs corresponding amino acid is attached (by aminoacyl-tRNA synthetases). tRNAs cope with the degeneracy of the genetic code in two manners: having more than one tRNA (with a specific anti-codon) for a particular amino acid; and 'wobble' base-pairing, i.e. permitting non-standard base-pairing at the 3rd anti-codon position.
Source: RNAcentral